CUAAUAAACUAUUUUGAGUCGGCUGUUGUAGCUUUUAUUUAGUACUUGCUGCUAGGUUGUGUUAAAUCUUCUCUUGGCCAGCAAGAGAUAGGUACUUGUGUAAUCAAAGAGUUCUUCGUAUUUGAUUUGUUCCUGUGGUAGUUUAUGUUCAUGGUAUGCUGGUUCACUCGCAUGAUAUUCGUUUUAUUAUGUGGUAUAUACUUUAGUUUUUUGUGCCGUGUAUAAUGAUCAACCUUGUGUUGACGCCUAGCUUUCGUAGAGAAUACAAAAAACCUGCCUGACACAAUAGGACUGAAAAUCAUUUCUCUUGUUUGUUUGGGAAUACUGGACACGAAGUUUAACUCAUCAGCUUGUCCGCAAAUCAUAUUGUGAGUGAGUCCAUUUGGACAACAGGUAAAUAGUUCAUCGCUAUAUUUAGUCUGAUUCAAUCAACACGUCUAGUUCUAAUUUAGACGUGCAUCAGGUUUUCACCAGGGCAUUAUAACUUGACCUAGCACAUUAGUAGCAUAAUUUAGCAACUACUCCCUCUGCUCCAAAAUUAUUGUGGUGUUUUUGAAGUAAACCAAGACAAUAAUUUUGGAACGGAGGAUAAGGGUGUGUAUAAUGAUGCUAUCUUAGCUCCAUGUGGAAUAAAUUUUAAGGUGGAGGAGGGAGGUGUUUGAAGUACAUGUGAAAUAAAUUUUAAGGUGGAGGAGGGAGGUGUUUGAAGUAGAACGAGAGACAAGAUAAAAGAUGUAAAGUGAAUCGUUGUCUUUAUUGAUGAUUGAGUAUAAUUAUAUAUAGCCUUGUGGGGAUACAUUCAACAGACGCGAUGGUCCGAAGAGACAUGAUCCAUGCAUGUCGGUUAGGGAUACUGGAGAUUCUCUUAAAUUAACAUAUGGGUCAAUUAAAUCUCAACAAUUUCCCUAAUCUACGCUAUUCAUCUUAAAAGCUCCUUCAAAAUCCUAUGAAAAAAAUAUGAGGAGUAUAAUAUUUGAUAUGUUACCAAAACUCUUUCAAACCCAGUGGGAUAAAUAAGGAGAAAAUGCUGUAAAAUAUAAUAGUUGUUGUCUUCCUUAACUCAAUAUGUAUGAACCAUAGAGUUUAGAGGACAAUAAAUAUAUCAUAUAUACUUUUCUAAAAACGGGAAAACAAAAAGUAGGACAUAUGAUCUUACGUUGAUAUUACCUCAUUAAAAACCCUGAUAAGAACUUGUAUAGUAACUUAUGAAGGAAAAAAAGUAUAACAUGAUGCAUUAAACAAGAAUAAUUCAGGAAGAUACUUCCCUUGAUUCUUGCAAAUUUCAAAGCCGUCACAUCCAAUUUCAUGAACAUAUUUCUGAAAUAUAAAAGUUAAUGGAGACUUCGUGAGAAAACCAGUCACAUGAUUUGAUUUACAAGAUAUGCAUAUAGCGAUGUUGCUUAUUACGUAACCUGUUUGCAUCCGGGCAACACAAAAAAUAUUAUCAUUGAGAUAAUGGUUGGUGGAUGUAGCCAUGAGGUCUGUUUCAAAGACUCUUCAUGAGAGAGCUACCACACCUAGUAGGAACACUAAGCUUCUCUAUGAUUUGACAUAACGGGGAUCUGAUGAAUGUAUUCAAUGAUAUUGGUGUUCAGAUUUCUCUGAAACUUGAAAAAUCAGGACAAGAUGUUUGGUGCCUUUGAAGAUAUCGAUAGAAUACCAUAAUGUAUGAAUGAAGGUGGUCAAGGCGUAGUAACAAGCGGUAUUUUGGUUUACCCAAUUCUUCAUUUUAAACUCCAUCAUUUAGAUGAUUACAUGUGUCGUCAUUGCAGACACACAAACAUGGGUAAUCAUCAUUGUAGGAGUAAUCCUCGUGUAUAAAGAACUCACUACGUCGGUUCUACCAUUUGUACCGACAACAAUAAGUCGUAUGGUGACUUACCAAUUUUUUACACAAUGUAUUGUUGGAAAUAUGCCCUAGAGGAAAUAAUACAAUAGUUAUUAUUAUAUUUCCUGUUUCAAGAUAAUCGUCUAUUAUCCAUGCUAGAAUUUUAUUGAAUGUAACACAAAUACAUGUGUGGAUAUAUAGACAAAACAAUGUCCCUAGUGAGCCUCUAGUUGACUAGCUUGUUGAUCAAGAUGGUUAAGAUUUCCUAACCAUAGACAAGUGUUGUCAUUUGAUAACGGGAUCACAUCAUUAGGAGAAUGAUGUCAUGGACAAGACCCGAACUAUAAACGUAGCAUGUGAUCGUGUUAUUUUGUUGCUAUUGUUUUCUACAUGUCAAGUAUACAUUCCUAUGACCAUGAGAUUAUGUAACUCACUGACACCGUAUGAAUGCCUUGUGUGUAUCAAACGUCACAAUGUAACCUCAUGACUAUAAAGGUGCUCUACAGGUAUCUCCGAAGGUGUACGUUGAGUUAGCAUGGAUCAAGACUGCGAUUUUCCACUCAGUAUGAUGGAGAGGUAUCUUGGGGCCCACUAGGUAAUACAACAUCACAAACAAGCCUUGCAAGCAAUGUGACUAAAGAGUUAGCCACGUGAUCUUGUAUUACGGAACGAGUAAAUAGACUUGCCGGUAACAAGAUUGAAAUAGGUAUGGAGAUACCGACAAUCGAAUCUCGGGCAAGUAGCAUACCGAAGGACAAAGGGAAUGAUAUACGGGAUUAACUGAAUCCUUGACAUAGAGGUUCAACCGAUAAGAUCUUCGUAGAAUAUGUAGGAUCCAAUAUGGGCAUCCAGGUCCCGCUAUUGGGUAUUGACCGAAGAGUGUCUCGGUCAUGUCUACAUAGUUCUUGAACCCGCAGUGUCUGCACACUUAAGGUUCGGUGACGUUUCGGUAUAGUUGAAUUAUUGAUGUUGGUAACCGAAGGUUGUUCGGAGUCCCGAAUGAGAUCCAUGACGUCACAAGGGUUUCCGAAAUGGUCCGGAGACGAAGAUUGCUAUAUAGGAAGUAUCCAUUUGGCUUCCGGAAGGUUUUCGGGCAUUACUGGUAAAGUACCAGGAGUGACGAAUGGGUUCCGGAGUUCCACCGGGAGGGGCAACCCGCCCAGGAGAGAACCAAAAAGGCCCAAGGGUGGUGCACCAGCCCUUAGUGGGCUAGUGUCCUGUUGGGGAAUGUUGCAUGGGAAACAAAAAAUUUCCUACGCACAUGCAAUACCUGUCCAUGGUGAUGAUCAUCUACGGGAGGGGAGAGUGAAUCUACAUACCCUUGUAGAUCGCUAAGCGGAAGCGUAUAUAACGCGGUUGAUGUAGUGGAACAUCUUCGCGAUCCAAAUCGCAGCCCGUCCCGCGAUCUCAUCACGAUCCGUCCCACGAUCCCAUCCCGAUCUAGUGCCGAACGAACGACACCUCCGCAUUCAGCACACGUACAGCUCGAUGACGAUCCCGGCCUUCUUGAUCCAGCAAGAGGGGAGGAGAGGUGGAUGAGUUGUCCAACACAGCGGCAUGGUGGUGGUUGUUGUGGAUCUAUUCCAGUAGGGCUUCGCCUAAGCGCUGCUGAAAAACCGAUCUAGAGGAAGAACAAAUCUAGAGAGAAGUAGAGGGAGCACGUGGCAAUUAGGGUUAUCCCUCAUCUCUAAAACCUCUAGUAUAUAUAGGAGGGAGGUAAGGGAGGAGGCAGCCUCAAACCCUCAAGAUUUGGCCGAAAUUAGAGGUGGAAGAGUCCUACUCCAAUCCUACUAGGAGUAGGAUUCCUCCUCUCCACUUGGAAACCCUUUCCACCUUUUCCACCUUUGGGUUUCUUUCCUUCCCACCUCCAAUUCGCCUUGGGCUUUAGUGAAGGCUUCGGCCAUCCCACUAAGGGCUGGUCCACGUCCUACCACAGCCCAUGAGACCCUUUGGGGUGGGUGGGCCCACCUGGUGGACCCCCGGAACACAUUCGUCACUCCCGGUACACUAUCGGAAAUGUCUGAAACUUUUCCGGAGUUCAAAAACCACUUUCCUAUAUAUCAAUCUUUACCUCCGGACCAUCACGGAGCUCCUCGUGACGUCCAGGAUCUCAUCCGGGACUCCGAACAACAUUCGGUUACCAACACCUAUAACUCAACUAUGCUGAAAACGUCACCGAACCUUAAGUGUGUAGACCCCACGGGUUCGAGAACUAUGCAAACAUGACCUGAGACACUCCCCGGUCAAUAACCAAUAGCGGGACCUAGAUGUCCAUAUUGGAUCCUACAUAGUUUAAGAAGAUCCCUAUCGGUUGAACCUCUAUGUCAAGGAUUCAGUUAAUCCCGUAUGAUGUUCCCUUUGUCCUUCGGUAUGUUACUUGCCCGGGAUUCGAUCGUCGGUAUCUCCAUACUUAGUUCAAUCCCGUUACCGGCAAAUCUCUUUACUCAUUCCGUAAUACAAGAUCCCGUGACUAACUUCUUAGUCACAUUGCUUGCAAGGCUUAUUGUGAUGUUGUAUUACCGAGUGGGCCCUGAGAUACAUCUCUGUCACACUGACAAAUCCCAGUCUUGAUCCAUGCCAACCCAACAGACACCAUUGGAGAUACCUGUAGAGAACCUUUAUCGUCACCCAGUAACGUUGCGACGUUUGAUACACACAAGGUAUUCCUCCGGUGUCCGGGAGUUGCAUCAUCUCAUGGUCAUAGGAACAGAUACAUUGACAUGCAGAAAAUAGUAGCAGUAAACUGACACGAUCAUAUGCUACGUUUAUAGUUUGGGUCUUGUCCAUCACAUCAUUCUUCUAAUGAUGUGAUCCUGUUAUCAAGUGACACCACUUGUUGUUCAUCUUUGAUCAACAAGCUAGUCAACUAGAGGCUAACUAGGUAUAAUAUGUUGUCUAUGUAUCCACACAUGUAUUUGAGCUUCCAAUCAAUACAAUUCCAGCAUGGAUAAUAAACGAUUAUCAUGAACAAGGAAAUAUAAUAAUAAUCAAUUUAUUAUUGCCUCUAGGGCAUAUUUCCAACAGUCUCCCACUUGCACUAGCGUCAAUAAUCUAGUUCACAUCACUAUGUGAUUGCAAUGAAUCUAACACCCAUACAGUUCUGGGGUUCGAUCAUGUCUUGCUUGUGAGAGAGGUUUUUAGUCAAUAGAUCUGAACCUUUCAGAUCCAUGUGUGCUUUACAAAUCUCUAUGCCAUCCUAUAUAUGCUGCUACUACGCGCCAUUUGGAAUUAUUCCAAAUGACUGCUCCACUAUACGAAUCUGAUUUACUACUCAGAGUCAUCCGGAUUAGUGUCAAAGCUUGAAUCGACGUAACUCUUUACGAUGAACUCUUCAAUCACCUCCAUAAUCGAGAAAAUUCCUUACUCCACUAGUUAUUAAGGAUAACUUUUGACCGUUGUCCAGUACCAUUCCUGGAUCACUUUUGUACCCCUUGACAGAUUCAUGGCAAGGCACACAUCAGGUGCGGUACACAGCAUAACAUACUAUAGAGCCUACGGCUAAUGCAUAGGGGACGACCUUCGUCCUUUCUCUUUCUUCUGCCGUGGUCGAGCUUUGAGUCUUACUAAAAUUGACACCCUACAACACAGCCAAGAACUCCUUCUUUGCCAAUCUAUUUUGAACUCCUUCAAAAACUUGUCAAGGCAUGCAUUUCGUUGAAAGUUCUAUUAAGCGCUUUGAUUUAUCUCCAUAGAUCUUGAUACUCAAUGUUCAAGUAGCUUAAUCCAGGCUUUCCUUUGAAAAACUCCUUUCAAACAACCCUUUAUGCUUUCUAGAAAUUCUACAUUAUUUCCGAUCAACAAUAUGUCAACCACAUAUACUCAUAAGAAAUUCUAUAGUGCUCCCACUCACUUCUUUGGAAAUACAAGUUUCUCACAAACCUUGUAUAAACCCCAAAACUUUGAUCAUCUCAUCAAAGCGUAUAUUCCAACUCCGAGAUGCUUGAUCCGUUCCAUAGAAGGAUCACUGGAGCUUGCAUACAUGUUAGCGUCCUUAGGAACGACAAAACCUUCUGGUUGUAUCACAUACAACCUUUCCUCAAGGAAACCGUUGAGGAACCAAUGUUUUGACAUCCUAUGUGCAAUAUUUCAUAAAUAAUGCACCAACUGCUAACAUACUUCCAACAGACUUUUAGCAUCGCUACAAGUGAGAAAGUCUCAUCAUUGUCAACUCUUUGAACUUGUCGGAAACAUCUUUGCGACAAGUCGAGCUUUCUUAAUGGUGACUUUUCACCAUCAUCGUCUGUCUUCCUUUUCAAGAUCCAUCUGUACUUAAUAGUCUUACGACCAUCAAGUAGUUCUUCCAAAGUCUACACUUUGUUUUCAUACAUGGAUCCUCUCUCAGAUUUCAUGGCCUCCAGCCAUUUGCCAGAAUCCGGGACCACGAUCGCUUCUCCAUAGCUCGUUGGUUCAUUGUUGUCCAACAACAUGACCUCCAAGACAGGGUUACCAUAUCACUAUCAUCAGCUUCCACUUCAAUUGGUGUAGGCGCCACAGGAACAACUUCAUGCGCCCUGCUACACACUUGUUGAAGUGACGGUUCAAUAACCUCAUCAAGUUUCACCAUCCUUUCUUUCGAGAGAAACUUUUCCUCGAGAAAGGGACCGUUUCUAGAAACAAACACUUUGCUUCCGAAUCUGAGAUAGGAGGUAUAGCCAACUGUUUUUGGGUGUCCCAUGAAGAUGCAUUUAUCCGCUUUGGGUUCGAUCUUAUCAUGCCAAAACUUUUUCACAUAAGCAUCGCAGCCCCAAACUUUUAAGAAACGAUAACUUAGGUUUCUCCAAACCAUAGUUCAUACGGUGUCAUCUCAACGGAAUUACAUGGUGCCCUAUUCAAAGUGAAAGCGGUUGUCUCAAAAGCCUAACCCAUAAAUGAUAGUAAUAAUUCGAUAAGAGACAUCAUAGUAUGCACUAUAUCAAAUAGGGCGCGGCUAUGACGUUCGGACACACCAUCACACUAUGGUGUUCCAGGCGGCAUGAGAUGUGAAACAGUUUUCACAUUGUCUUAAUUGUGUACCAAACUCACAACUCAGAUAUUCAUCUCUAUGAUCAUAUCGUAGACAUUUUAUCCUCUUGUCACGACGAUCUUCAACUUCACUCUGAAAUUACUUGAACCUUUCAAUAAUUCAGACGUGUGUUUCAUCAAGUAAAUAUACUAGUAUCUACUCAAAUCAUCUGUGAAGUAAGAACAUAACAAUAUCCACUGCGUGCCUCAACACUCAUUGGACUGCACACAUCAAAAUGUAUUACUUCCAACAAGUUACUUUCUUGUUCCAUCUCACUGGAAAACGAUACCUUCAGUCAUCUUUCCCAUGUGGUAUGAUUUGCAUGUCUCAAAUGAUUCAAAAAUCAAGUGAGUCCAAACGAUCCAUCUGCAUAGAGUUUCCUAAUGCGUUUAUACCAAUAUGACUCAAGUGGGAGUGCCACAAGUAAGUGGUACUAUCAUUACUACUUUAUAUCUUUUGGCAUUAAUAUUAUGAACAUGUGUAUCACUACGAUCGAGAUUCAAUAAACCAUUCAUUUUAGGUGCAAGAUCAUUGAAGAUAUUAUUCAAACAAAUAGAGUAACCAUUAUUCUCUUUAAAUGAAUAACCGUAUUGCGAUAAAUACAAUCUAAUCAUGUUUAUGCUCAACGCAAACACCAAAUAACAAUUAUUAGGUUUAACACUAAUCCCGAUGGUAGAGGGAGCAUGCGAUGUUUGAUCACAUCAACCUUGGAAACACUUCCAACACAUAUCGUCACCUUGCCUUUAGCUAGUCUCCGUUUAUUCCAUAGCUUUUAUUUUGAGUCACUAACACUUAGCAACCGAACCGGUAUCUAAUACCCUGGUGCUACUAGGAGUACUAGUAAAGUACACAUCAAUAUCACGUAUAUCCAAUAUACUUUUGUCGACUUUGCCAUCCUUCUCAUCUACCAAGUAUCUAGGGUAGUUCUGCUUCAGUGACCGUUCCCCUCAUUACAGAAGCAAUUAGUCUCGGGUUUGGGUUCAACCUUGGGGUUUCUUCACUAGAGCAGCAACUGGUUUCUUGUUUCAUGAAGUAUCCUUUUUGCCCUUGCCCUUCUUGAAACUAGUGAUUUUACUAACCAUCAACAAUUGAUGCUCCUACUUGAUUUCUACUUUCGCGGUGUCAAACAUCGCGAAUAGCUCAAGGAUCAUCAUAUCUAUCCUUGAUAUGUUAUAGUUCAUCACGAAGCUCUAGUAGCUUGGUGGCAGUGACUUUGGACAACCAUCACUUUCUUAUCUGGGAGAUCAACUCCCACUCGAUUCAAGCGAUUGUAGCACUUAGACAAUCCGAGCACAUGCUCAACGAUUGAGCUUUUCUCCCUUACUUUGUAGACAAAUAAUCUUGUCGGAGGUCUCAUACCCCUUAACAAGGCACGAGCAUGAAAUCCUAAUUUCAUCUCUUGGAACAUCUCAUAUGUUCUGUGCCGUUCAAAACGUCUUCGGCGCCUUAAUUCUAAGCCGUCAAGCAUUACGCAGUGAACUAUCACGUAGUCAUAAAAAACGUGUAUGUCAGAUGUUCGCAACAUCCACAGACGACGCUCGAGGUUGAACACACCGAGCGGUGCAUUAAGGACAUAAGCCUUCUACGCAGCAACGAGGACAAUCCUUAGUUUACGGACCCAGUCCGCAUAAUUGAUACUAUCAACUUUCAACUAAAUUUUCUCUAGGAACAUAUCUAAAACAGUAGGGCUACAGCGCAAGCUACAAUAUAAUUUGCAAAUACCUUUUGAUUAUGUUCAUGAUAAUGAGUUCAAUUAAUCAUAUUACAUAAGAACUCCCACUCAAAUAGACAUCCCUCCAGUCACUGGAGUGGCGCAUGAUCCAAAUCCACUAACUCAAGUCCGAUCAUCACGUGAGUUGAGAUUAGUUUCAUUGGUGAACAUCUCCAUGUUGAUCAUAUCAACUAUAUGAUUCAUGCUCGACCUUUCGGUCUCUUGUGUUCCGAGGCCAUGUCUUUACAUGCUAGGCUCGUCAAGUUUAACCCGAGUGUUCCAUGUGUGCAACUGUUUUGCACCCGUUCUAUGUGAACAUUGAGUCUAUCACACCCGAUCAUCACGUGGUGUCUCGGAACGACGAACUAUCGCAAUGGUGCACAGUCGGGGAGAACACAAUUUUAUCUUGAAAUUUUAGUGAGGGAUCACCUUAUAAUGCUACCGUCAUUCUAAGCAAAAUAAGGUGCAUAAAAGGAUUAAUAUCACAUGCAAAUCAUAAGUGACAUGAUAUGGCAAUGAUCUUGUGCUUCUUGAUCUCCAUCACCAAAGCACCGACAUGAUCUCCAUCAUCACCGGCGCCGCACCAUGAUCUCCAUCAUCAUGCGUCCAUCGAGGUUGCCGCGCUGUCUAUGCUAUUACUGUUGGGUAACGUAGUAAAUUCAAAAAAUUUCCUACGUCAUACAAGGAUCUAUCUAUGGAGAGACCAACAACGAGAGAGGUUGUAGAGCAUCUUCAUGCCUUUGAAGAUCGCUAAGCGGAAGCAUUACUAUGAACGCGGUCGAUGGAGUCGUACUCGCAGCGAUUCAGAUCACGGUCGGUUCCGAUCUAUGUGCCGAAUCACGACACCUCCGCGUUCAACACACGUACAACCCGGUGACAGUCUCCCGCGCCUUGAUCCAGCAAGGAGGAGCGAGAGGUUGAGGGAGUGCUCCGGCAUCACGACAGCGUGGUGGCGGUGGAGCUAUGAGGUCUCCUGGCAGGUCUUCUCCAAGCACCGUGGAAGAGGAGAAAGAGGAUAAGCAGGGCUGCACCGAGAGAGAGAUUUCGUGUGUCUCAAAUCAGCCAAAACCUUCACUAUAUAUAGGGGGAGAGGGAGGGGGGCGCCUCCUUUAGGAUUCCCAGCCCCAAAGGGUGCGGCAGCCCCAUCUAGGGCUGGUAGUGGCGGCCAGGGUAAGAGAGAGGGGGUGGCGCACCCCAAACGGGCCUUAGGCCCAUCUGCACUAGGGUUUCCCCCUUCCCUUUCUUGUGGCGCCUUGGGCCUAGGUGGGAGGCGCACCAGCCCACUCUGGGCUGGUUCCCUUCCACCUUUUGGCCCAUGCUAGCCUUCGGGGCUGGUGGCCCCUCCAGGUGGACCCCCGAAACCCUUUCGGUGGUCGCGGUACAUUACCGGUGUCUCGCGAAACAAUUCCGGCGACCACAUCCUCACUUCCUAUAUAUAAUUCUUUACCUCCGGACUAUUCUGGAGCUCCUUGUGACGUCCGGGAUAUCAUCUGGGACUUCGAACAACCUUCGGUAACCUCGUAUAACAAUUCCCUAUAACCCUAGCGUCAUCGAACCUUAAGUGUGUAGACCCUACGGGUUCGGGAGGCAUGCAGACAUGACCGAGACACCUCUCCCGCCAAUAACCAUCAGCGGGGUCUGGAUACCCAUGGUGGAUCCUGCAUGUUCCACGAUGAUCUCAUCGGAUGAACCACGAUGUCAAGGAUUCAAUCAAUCCCGUAUACAAUUCCCUUUGUCUACCGGUAUAGAACUUGCCCGAGAUUCGAUCAUCGGUAUUCCUAUACCUUGUUCAAUCUCGUUACCGGCAAGUCUCUUUACUCGUUCCGUAGCACAUCAUCCCGUGACUAACUCCUUAGUCACAUUGACCUCAUUAUGAUGAUGUUCUACCGAGUGGGCCCAGAGAUACCUCUCCGUCAUAUAGAGUGACAAAUCCCGAUCUCUAUUCGUACCAACUCAAUAGUACUUUCGGAGAUACCCAUAGUGCACCUUUAUAGUCACCGAGUUACAUUGUGACGUUUGAUACACCCAAAGCACUCCUACGGUAUCUGGGAGUUGCACAAUCUCACGGUCGAAGGAAAAGUUACUUGACAUUAGAAAAGCUUUAGCAUACGAACAACACGAUCUUGUUCUAUGCUUACGAUUGGGUCUUGUCCAUCACAUCAUUCUCCUAAUGAUGUGAUCCCAUUAUCAAUGACAUACAAUGUCCAUGAUCAGGAAACCAUGAUCAUCUAUUGAUCAACGAGCUAGCCAACUAGAGGCUUGCUAGGGACACAUUGUGAUAUAUUUAUCCACACAUGCAUUACUGUUUCCUGUUAAUACAAUUAUAGCAUGAACAAUAGAUGAUUAUCAUGAACAAGGAAAUAUGAUAAUAAUCAUUUUAUUAUUGCCUCUAGGGCAUAUUUCCAACAGUCUCCCACUUGCACUAGAGUCAAUAAUCUAGUUCACANNNNNNNNNNNNNNNNNNNNNNNNNNNNNNNNNNNNNNNNNNNNNNNNNNNNNNNNNNNNNNNNNNNNNNNNNNNNNNNNNNNNNNNNNNNNNNNNNNNNGCAACUCGAAGCAGGAACUGCGGAAUAGACGAAGGCUGGCGAAAGACGAAGUGACGAUGCGCGUAGGAAAUGGUUCCAAGGUUGAUGCAAUCGCCGUCGGCACAGUGUCACUUCAGCUACCAUCGGGAUUAGUGAUGAACUUAAAUCAUUGUUAUUUAGUGCCUGCGUUGAGCAUGAACAUUAUAUCUGGAUCUUGUUUAUUGCGAGACGGUUACUCUUUUAAGUCUGAGAAUAAUGGUUGUUCUAUUUCUAUGAGUAACAUCUUUUAUGGUCAUGCACCGAAUGUGAGAGGAUUGUUCAUAUUGAAUCUUGAUAGCGAUAUGCAUAUACAUAACAUUGAGACCAAAAGAGUUAGAGUAAACAAUGAUAGCGCCAUAUUUUUGUGGCACUGCCGCUUGGGUCAUAUUGGUGUAAAGCGCAUGAAGAAACUCCAUGCUGAUGGACUUUUGGAGUCACUUGACUUUGAUUCACUUGACACGUGCGAACCAUGCCUCAUGGGCAAGAUGACUAAGACUCCGUUCUCCGGAACAAUGGAGCGUGCAAGUGACUUGUUGGAAAUCAUACAUACCGAUGUGUGUGGUCCAAUGAGCGUAGAGGCACGCGGCGGAUAUUGUUAUUUUCUCACCUUCACUGACGAUUUAAGUAGAUAUGGUUAUGUCUACUUGAUGAAGCACAAGUCUGAAACAUUUGAGAAGUUCAAGCAAUUUCAGAGUGAAGUGGAAAAUCAUCGUAACAAGAAGAUCAAGUUCCUACGGUCUGAUCGUGGGGGUGAAUAUCUGAGUUUCGAGUUUGGUGCUCACUUAAGACAAUGUGGAAUUGUUUCGCAGUUAACACCGCCUGGAACACCACAGCGUAAUGGUGUGUCCGAACGUCGUAAUCGUACUUUGUUAGAGAUGGUGCUAUCUAUGAUGUCUCUUACUGAUUUGCCGUUAUCAUUUUGGGGUUAUGCAUUAGAAACAGCUGCAUUCACUUUAAAUAGGGCACCAUCAAAAUCCGUUGAGACGACACCAUACGAACUGUGGUAUGGCAAAAGGCCAAAGUUGUCGUUUCUUAAAGUUUGGGGAUGUGAUUCUUAUGUCAAAAAGCUUCAGCCUGAAAAGCUGGAACCCAAAGCGGAAAAGUGCGUCUUCAUAGGUUACCCAAAAGAGACAGUUGGGUACACCUUCUAUCUCAAAUCCGAGGGCAAAGUGUUUGUUGCUAAAAACGGAGCUUUUCUCGAGAUGGAGUUUCUCUCGAGAGAAUUGAGUGGGAGGAAGAUAGAACUUGACGAGGUUGUCGAACCUCUCAUCCCUCUGGAUGGUGGCGCAGGGCAAGGGGAAACCUCUGUCGUUGCGACGCCGGUUGAGGAGGAAGUUAAUGAUGAUGAUCAUGAAACUCCAGUUCAAGUUUCUGUUGAACCNNNNNNNNNNNNNNNNNNNNNNNNNNNNNNNNNNNNNNNNNNNNNNNNNNNNNNNNNNNNNNNNNNNNNNNNNNNNNNNNNNNNNNNNNNNNNNNNNNNNUCCAGCAAGAGAGACGGAGAGGUAGAAGAGUUCUCCGGCAGCGUGACGGCGCUCCGGAGGUUGGUGAUGAUCUUGUCUCAGCAGGGCUCCGCCCGAGCUCCGCAGAAACACGAUCUAGAGGAAAAACUAUGGAGGUAUGUGGUCGGGCAGCCGUGAGAAAGUCGUCUCAAAUCUGCCCUAAAAGCCCCAUAUAUAUAGGAGGAGGGAGGGGGACCUUGCCUUGGGGUCCAAGGGACCCCAAGGGGGUCGGCCGAGCCAGGGGGGAGGACUCUCCCCCCCCCAAACCGAGUCCUACUUGGUUUGGUGGGAGGGAGUCCUUCCCCCUUCCCACUUCCUCCUUUUUUUUCUUUCUUCCUUUGAUUUUUGUUCCUUGGCGCAUAGGAUUUGGUGGGCUGUCCCACCAGCCCACUAAGGGCUGGUGUGACCCCCACAAAUACCUAUGGGCUUCCCCGGAGUGGGUUGCCCCCCUCCGGUGAACCCCCGGAACCCAUUCGUCAUUCCCGGUACAUUCCCGGUAACUCCGAAAACCUUCCGGUAAUCAAAUGAGGUNNNNNNNNNNNNNNNNNNNNNNNNNNNNNNNNNNNNNNNNNNNNNNNNNNNNNNNNNNNNNNNNNNNNNNNNNNNNNNNNNNNNNNNNNNNNNNNNNNNNAUGCUGUGCACUAGACCGGAUGUUAGCCUGGCCAUAAGUAUGGCAGGUAGGUUCCAGAGUAAUCCAGGAGUGGAUCACUGGACAGCGGUCAAGAAUAUCCUGAAGUACCUGAAAAGGACUAAGGAGAUGUUUCUCGUGUAUGGAGGUGACGAAGAGCUCGCCGUAAAAGGUUACGUCGAUGCAAGCUUUGACACAGAUCCGGACGACUGUAAGUCGCAAACCGGAUACGUAUUUAUUCUUAAUGGGGGUGCAGUAAGCUGGUGCAGUUCCAAGCAAAGCGUCGUAGCAGAUUCUACAUGUGAAGCGGAGUACAUGGCUGCCUCGGAGGCGGCUAAGGAGGGUGUCUGGAUGAAGCAGUUCAUGACGGAUCUUGGAGUGGUGCCAAGCGCACUGAAUCCAAUAACCUUGUUCUGUGACAACACUGGUGCCAUUGCCUUAGCAAAGGAACCACGGUUUCACAAGAAGAACAGACACAUGAAACGACGCUUCAACCUCAUCCGCGACUACGUCGAGGAAGAGGACGUGAAUAUAUGCAAAGUGCACACGGAUCUGAAUGUAGCAGACCCGCCGACUAAACCUCUUCCACGGCCAAAACAUGAUCGACACCAACUGUAUGGGUGUUAGAUUUAUUACAAUGUAAUUCACAUGGUGAUGUGAGGGCUAGAUUAUUGACUCUAGUGCAAGUGCGAGACUGUUGGAAUUAUGCCCUAGAGGCAAUAAUAAAUGUAUAGUUAUUAUUAUAAUUCCUGUAUCAAGANNNNNNNNNNNNNNNNNNNNNNNNNNNNNNNNNNNNNNNNNNNNNNNNNNNNNNNNNNNNNNNNNNNNNNNNNNNNNNNNNNNNNNNNNNNNNNNNNNNNACCUCAUUUGAUUACCGGAAGGUUUUCGGAGUUACCGGGAAUGUACCGGGAAUGACGAAUGGGUUCCGGGAGUUCACCGGGGGGGCAACCCACCCCGGGGAAGCCCAUAGGCCUUGGGGGAGACACACCAGCCCUUAGUGGGCUUGUGGGACAGCCCACAAGUGCUCUAUGCGCCAAGAGAAGAAAAAUCAAGAGGAAAAGAAAAAAAAAA
This 14303-nucleotide long non-coding RNA is filed under the name Hordeum vulgare. Its description in RNAcentral is "long non-coding RNA (HVUL_LNC021519)". The record is from RNAcentral. Lineage: Eukaryota; Viridiplantae; Streptophyta; Magnoliopsida; Poales; Poaceae.